GGCGUUUGACCUGCGUAGAUGCACAGCAAUGACCACUUGCGGACCCUGCGUCCUUCCUUGACACGGAAGAGGUCACAGGUUCAAGUCCUGUAUCGUCCA
RNAcentral lists this transfer RNA (99 nucleotides) under Actinomycetota bacterium. RNAcentral describes it as "tRNA-Val". The record is from RNAcentral. Lineage: Bacteria; Bacillati; Actinomycetota.